UAGGGAAUCUUCCGCAAUGGACGCAAGUCUGACGGAGCAACGCCGCGUGAGUGAAGAAGGAUUUCGGUUCGUAAAACUCUGUUGUUAGAGAAGAACAGCGCAUAGAGUAACUGUUAUGCGUGUGACGGUAUCUAACCAGAAAGCCACGGCUAACUACGUGCCAGCAGCCGCGGUAAUACGUAGGUGGCAAGCGUUGUCCGGAUUUAUUGGGCGUAAAGCGAGCGCAGGCGGUCAAUUAAGUCUGAUGUGAAAGCCCCCGGCUCAACCGGGGAGGGUCAUUGGAAACGGGUGGACUUGAGUGCAGAAGAGGAGAGUGGAAUUCCAUGUGUAGCGGUGAAAUGCGUAGAUAUAUGGAGAAAAACCAGUGGCGAGGGCGACUCUCUGGUCUGUAACUGACGCUGAGGCUCGAAAGCGUGGGUAGCAAACAGG
RNAcentral lists this ribosomal RNA (429 nucleotides) under Bacteroidota bacterium. RNAcentral's name for it is "Bacteroidetes bacterium partial 16S ribosomal RNA". It matches the Rfam family "Bacterial small subunit ribosomal RNA", at positions 355 to 776 of the family's 1533-position model. The record is from RNAcentral. Lineage: Bacteria; Pseudomonadati; Bacteroidota.